Prionailurus viverrinus (fishing cat) is the source of this 1130-nucleotide long non-coding RNA. RefSeq lists it as uncharacterized. Lineage: Eukaryota; Metazoa; Chordata; Mammalia; Carnivora; Felidae. The transcript is spliced from 3 exons. The record is from RefSeq and is a predicted model, not a curated record.
GGUCCUUAAGUCAAGAAAAGACCUAAAAGAAACUGUAAUGCAUGUUGCUAAGUGAAAGAAGACGAUCUGACAAGGCUACAUCCUAGAAAACGCCAACAAUUUGGCAUCCUGGAAAAGGCAGAACUAUGGAGACAGUGAAAAGAUCUGUGAUUCACAAGGCUGAGGGGUAAGAGAAGGGAGGGAUAAAGAGGCAGACCCCACGGGAUUUUCAGGGCAGUGAAACUAUUCUGUCUGAUACUGUAAUGCUGGACAUGUUCUUACAGAUUUGUCAAAACACAGAGAAUAUAUAAAUAGAGACAGCCUUAAUGGAAAGUAUGGAUUUUUUUGGCAACAAAUGCACCACGCUGAUGCAAGAUGUUUUUAAGUGGACAUACCCGGACUUCUAAAACUCCGACCUCCUCCUAUGACCGGCUCCCUGGAGAUAUCACCCCAUUGUUGAAAGGACCCUAUGGAGAGAUCCACAUGUCAAACAACUGAUAUCUACAGCCAAAAGGCAUUGAAGAUCGGAAGCCAGCUAGAAGCCAUGUGAAUGAGGUUGGAAACAGAACGUCCUCCAGUUGAACCUUGACAUGCCCUGUCUCCCUGUCCAACAUCUUGGGAAACUCUCAAGCAGAGCAUCUCACUGAGGGACACUCAGGUUCUUGAUCUAGAAAGACUGCAAUAUAAUAAAUGUUUGUUGUUUUAAGAGGCUAAAUUUUGGAGGUGAUUUGUUAAACAACAAUGAAACCAAAAGACCCAUCAAAGAGGAGUCAAGAAACAGAAAAUGUGAAGUGGGUUAGGAGAGGAUUAAAUGUAGGUUAUGGAUUGCCAAAGUUUCCAAAUUCGAAUAGUAUUAUUAUUAAUACUUAAAAUACUUUUCUCAUAAAUGAGACAUUAAGUGUUAAAGAAAUCACUUGGGUAUGUCCACUGUAUCUCAAUGAAAUAACUAGUUGGAAUAAAAUAAAAGAAUUCACUCAGGGGUCUGGAGGUGAAGACCAUUUGAAUACCAUCAGAAACUGGUGGGGGGUGGUUGAAAAGUUUGGAAAAUGAGUUGAUUUUAAGAGCUCUCCAUAGGUAUUUAGAGACAAACAAUGGAUUUUUUUCCCUAUCAGUUGUUUCAAAAUGGUAUCAUAUUUAUUUAUAUGUUUUUU